AUUGAACGCUGGCGGCAUGCCUUACACAUGCAAGUCGAACGGUAACAGGUUAAGCUGACGAGUGGCGAACGGGUGAGUAAUACAUCGGAACGUGCCCAGUAGUGGGGGAUAGCCCGGCGAAAGCCGGAUUAAUACCGCAUACGACCUACGGGUGAAAGGGGGGGAUCGCAAGACCUCUCGCCAUUGGAGCGGCCGAUGUCAGAUUAGGUAGUUGGUGGGGUAAAAGCCUACCAAGCCGACGAUCUGUAGCUGGUCUGAGAGGACGACCAGCCACACUGGGACUGAGACACGGCCCAGACUCCUACGGGAGGCAGCAGUGGGGAAUUUUGGACAAUGGGCGCAAGCCUGAUCCAGCCAUGCCGCGUGCGGGAAGAAGGCCUUCGGGUUGUAAACCGCUUUUGUCAGGGAAGAAACGCUCUGGGUUAAUACCCUGGGGUAAUGACGGUACCUGAAGAAUAAGCACCGGCUAACUACGUGCCAGCCGCCGCAGUAA
This 493-nucleotide ribosomal RNA is filed under the name uncultured bacterium. Its description in RNAcentral is "partial 16S ribosomal RNA". It matches the Rfam family "Bacterial small subunit ribosomal RNA", at positions 30 to 523 of the family's 1533-position model. The record is from RNAcentral.